UAAGGAAUAUUGGACAAUGGACGCAAGUCUGAUCCAGCCAUGCCGCGUGAAGGAUUAAGGUCCUCUGGAUUGUAAACUUCUUUUAUAAGGGACGAAAAAAGGCUUUUCUAAGUCGUCUGACGGUACCUUAUGAAUAAGCACCGGCUAACUCCGUGCCAGCAGCCGCGGUAAUACGGAGGGUGCAAGCGUUAUCCGGAUUCACUGGGUUUAAAGGGUGCGUAGGCGGGCAGGUAAGUCAGUGGUGAAAUCCUAGAGCUUAACUCUAGAACUGCCAUUGAUACUAUCUGUCUUGAAUAUUGUGGAGGUAAGCGGAAUAUGUCAUGUAGCGGUGAAAUGCUUAGAUAUGACAUAGAACACCUAUUGCGAAGGCAGCUUACUACGCAUAUAUUGACGCUGAGGCACGAAAGCGUGGGGAUCAAACAGG
Molecule: ribosomal RNA, 424 nt
Filed under: uncultured Sediminibacterium sp.
Lineage: Bacteria; Pseudomonadati; Bacteroidota; Chitinophagia; Chitinophagales; Chitinophagaceae
Description: bacterial SSU rRNA
Rfam family: Bacterial small subunit ribosomal RNA
Source: RNAcentral